UUAUCUAUCAGUUAGCAUUGUGUAUACAUUAUAUACCAUUUUUACCGUGGGGCUACGUUAUCGGUGGAUUACUCGUACGUCGGUAGAGGGUAUUAUGAGUGAUACAGUUGUGUGUUUCGUUAAUUGGCCACCGAGAUCAAAGCUUAUCUGGCCAGUUAUCGAGAGAGGAAAUCAGUUUGACAAAGGGGUGGAAGUAGAGGCGGUCAGUUAGCGAAGCAAAAUUCUGGCCAGUUAACGCGACAUUACUGUAUCUCUUAUGUCAGAUACAUCGAUUUGUCGCAAUCAGCCGACGGCAUCAAAACUCACGUAGUAUUUAACAUUUAAUCUUUCCGUAUUAAAAGAUUCUUAUUAUCAUCCUUUCACUUUGAAACACCUACGAAUUUUAUAGAGAAAAAGAGACAUGGUUAUCUAUUAUUCUUUGUUCGCUAUAUACGCGCGCGCGCGCGCAUAUGUAUGCAUGUAUGUAUGUAUGUAUAAGCAGAUUAACAUUGUUCUCUGUUUAUAAAGCAUGCAACUCAAGUUUGGAAACCGUAAAUGAGUUUUAAAGUAUGAAUGAAAAUGUUUCUUCGUGAUCGAGUCUGGUAUCGAUGUGAAAGAAUAACAGAGGGGUCUAUCGGAUUUCUUUGUGUCGUUGACACGCGCGUGUUGUAACAUGCAUCUGCGUGGUAAUGCGUAACAACAUAACAUCUCUUUGAGAAUAACCUAUGUAACGAAGAGGAGGCCAAUUUCGACGUAACUUUCGAGAGCACGCGUAUGUGUUAUAUAUAUAAUAUAUAACAUAUAUAUAUAUAUAUAUGUACGUAGCGAGCAAAAAUGAUCGAAACAUUACUGCGCUUUCAUAUCGGAUUCGUGUACGACAGAAAAGCAGUAUGGACGUGUAUAGUAGACAUAAUAGUUUCAUUUAUUUACACACAUCUUAUGGCUAGAUUACAGAUAUUACAGAUAUAGUAAAUUUAUAGAUGCAAUAAUGUAGUUAAUAUUAUAUGAAAAGAAAUUAGGUGGAUAAUUUAAUAUUAAAAAUGAAGAAAUUAUGCAAAAAGUAUUCAUUAUAAUGUUUAAUAAAUGAAAUACAUCUUAA
Molecule: long non-coding RNA, 1078 nt
Organism: Bombus pascuorum
Lineage: Eukaryota; Metazoa; Arthropoda; Insecta; Hymenoptera; Apidae
Exons: 2
Source: RefSeq, a predicted model, not a curated record